AGUGAACGCUGGCGGUAGGCCUAACACAUGCAAGUCGAACGGCAGCACAGUAAGAGCUUGCUCUUACGGGUGGCGAGUGGCGGACGGGUGAGGAAUACAUCGGAAUCUACUUUUUCGUGGGGGAUAACGUAGGGAAACUUACGCUAAUACCGCAUACGACCUACGGGCGAAAGCAGGGGAUCUUCGGACCUUGCGCGAUUGAAUGAGCCGAUGUCGGAUUAGCUAGUUGGCGGGGUAAAGGUCCACCAAGGCGACGAUCCGUAGCUGGUCUGAGAGGAUGAUCAGCACCACUGGAACUGAGACACGGUCCAGACUCCUACGGGAGGCAGCAGUGGGGAAUAUUGGACAAUGGGCGCAAGCCUGAUCCAGCCAUACCGCGUGGGUGAAGAAGGCCUUCGGGUUGUAAAGCCCUUUUGUUGGGAAAGAAAAGCAGCAGGUUAAUACCCCGCUGUUCUGACGGUACCCAAAGAAUAAGCACCGGCUAACUUCGUG
RNAcentral lists this ribosomal RNA (492 nucleotides) under uncultured bacterium. RNAcentral describes it as "partial 16S ribosomal RNA". It matches the Rfam family "Bacterial small subunit ribosomal RNA", at positions 29 to 507 of the family's 1533-position model. The record is from RNAcentral.